RNAcentral lists this ribosomal RNA (301 nucleotides) under uncultured bacterium. Its description in RNAcentral is "partial 16S ribosomal RNA". It matches the Rfam family "Bacterial small subunit ribosomal RNA", at positions 509 to 807 of the family's 1533-position model. The record is from RNAcentral.
CAGCAGCCGCGGUAAUACGGAGGGUGCAAGCGUUAUCCGGAUUUAUUGGGUUUAAAGGGUCCGUAGGCGGACUUAUAAGUCAGUGGUGAAAGCCUGUCGCUUAACGAUAGAACUGCCAUUGAUACUGUAAGUCUUGAGUAUAUUUGAGGUAGCUGGAAUAAGUAGUGUAGCGGUGAAAUGCAUAGAUAUUACUUAGAACACCAAUUGCGAAGGCAGGUUACCAAGAUAUAACUGACGCUGAGGGACGAAAGCGUGGGUAGCGAACAGGAUUAGAUACCCCGGUAGUCCCUGUCUCUUAUAC